AAAAAAUUUAAACAGUUCAAGAGCUCAAAGCAUGCGAAAUCGAAUUGACAGCUAGUAUGCCAUAAAUUGUUCACUGUCGAGAUGCCCCGUAAGAAUAAAUACAGAAUGUGCGCCAAUUCACAAUACUCAUGCACAAUAGUCAUUCUCAAUAAAUUGAACGAGUCAGCCGUUCAUGUGACACUAGAUUCUGAAUUUUUUCUUGCCCUUGCAUAUUUCGGUAUAGGAUUUUCGCAUUUUGUAUCAUCGGUAAUCUUGAAUGAGCAAGAGAAUCCCCCUAUUGUAAAUGACUAUUUUGCAUAACCCCUGCAAGACGGAGGUAACAGAUUGCGCAAACACAUUGAAACAUUUUCAGCUGUUCACUAACACUGUUAGAUUUUCUGGAAUUUUCAAUUGAAUGGGAGAAUACGAGAGACGAAUGCCCAAUUUUUCAAGAAGAAGAAAACGAAAAGCGCACUUUAUUUUGGAUUUUAAAGAGAGUAAACGAAAAAGAUUAACAACGAGGAAAAGAAAUCAUUUGGAGCAUUUGGAUGCCUAUAACAAAGACGCAUCAUUCAAUUAGCCGCAUCACCGAUGACUUGGAGGACGAGCAUUACGUGGA
Bactrocera neohumeralis is the source of this 598-nucleotide long non-coding RNA. RefSeq lists it as uncharacterized. The record is from RefSeq and is a predicted model, not a curated record. NCBI's taxonomy places the organism in Eukaryota, Metazoa, Arthropoda, Insecta, Diptera, Tephritidae. The transcript has 4 exons.